UGGAUGCCUUGGCACUAGGAGCCGAUGAAGGACGGGACGAACACCGAUAUGCUUCGGGGAGCUGUAAGCAAGCUUUGAUCCGGAGAUUUCCGAAUGGGGAAACCCACUGCUCGUAAUGGAGCAGUAUCCAUAUCUGAAUUCAUAGGAUAUGAGAAGGCAGACCCGGGGAACUGAAACAUCUAAGUACCCGGAGGAAGAGAAAGCAAAUGCGAUUCCCUGAG
Molecule: ribosomal RNA, 221 nt
Filed under: Alexandrium fundyense
Lineage: Eukaryota; Dinophyceae; Gonyaulacales; Pyrocystaceae
Description: partial Bacterial large subunit ribosomal RNA
Rfam family: Bacterial large subunit ribosomal RNA
Source: RNAcentral